RNAcentral lists this ribosomal RNA (472 nucleotides) under uncultured bacterium. RNAcentral's name for it is "partial 16S ribosomal RNA". It matches the Rfam family "Bacterial small subunit ribosomal RNA", at positions 28 to 507 of the family's 1533-position model. The record is from RNAcentral.
GACGAACGCUGGCGGCGUGCUUAACACAUGCAAGUCGAACGAUGAACCCGGAGCUUGCUCUGGGGGAUUAGUGGCGAACGGGUGAGUAACACGUGAGUAACCUGCCCUGGACUCUGGGAUAAGCGUUGGAAACGACGUCUAAUACCGGAUAGGACCUUGGAUCGCAUGAUCUGGGGUGGAAAGUUUUUUCGGUCUGGGAUGGACUCGCGGCCUAUCAGCUUGUUGGUGAGGUAAUGGCUCACCAAGGCGUCGACGGGUAGCCGGCCUGAGAGGGUGAACGGCCACACUUGGACUUGGGCACGGGCCAGGCUCCCUCCGGGGGGCGGCAGUGGGAAUAUUGCACAAUGGGCGAAAGCCUGAUGCAGCAACGCCGCGUGCGGGAUGACGGCCUUCGGGUUGUAAACCGCUUUUAGUAGGGAAGAAGGGCUUCGGCUUGACGGUACCUGCAGAAAAAGGACCGGCUAACUACGUG